AGUGAACGCUGGCGGUAGGCCUAACACAUGCCAGUCGAACGGCAGCACAGUAAGAGCUUGCUCUUACGGGUGGCGAGUGGCGGACGGGUGAGGAAUACAUCGGAAUCUACUUUUUCGUGGGGGAUAACGUAGGGAAACUUACGCUAAUACCGCAUACGACCUACGGGUGAAAGCAGGGGAUCUUCGGACCUUGCGCGAUUGAAUGAGCCGAUGUCGGAUUAGCUAGUUGGCGGGGUAAAGGCCCACCAAGGCGACGAUCCGUAGCUGGUCUGAGAGGAUGAUCAGCAACACUGGAACUGAGACACGGUCCAGACUCCAACGGGAGGCAGCAGUGGGGAAUAUUGGACAAGGGGCGCAAGCCUGAUCCAGCCAUACCGCGUGGUGAAGAAGGCCUUCGGGUUGUAAAGCCCUUUUGUUGGGAAAGAAAAGCAGCAGGUUAAUACCCCGCUGUUCUGACGGUACCCAAAGAAUAAGCACCGGCUAACUUCGUG
Molecule: ribosomal RNA, 491 nt
Filed under: uncultured bacterium
Lineage: Bacteria
Description: partial 16S ribosomal RNA
Rfam family: Bacterial small subunit ribosomal RNA
Source: RNAcentral